UCGGUUUGGCUCUAAGCCUCGGGGGUAAAAAUAAAAUGUUUCCAUCCCCAGCCAAUCCCUGGAAAGGCAGAAGGGCACUCUUCCAAUGGGAGCCGGGCAGCCGUCGGUAGCGGCGUAGGCCCGUGCCCCUGCUCGCGCUGCAGCCCGUGGAAGGGUUCCGUCCAGCGUAUCCUUCAGAUCUUGCUGUAGGCCUCUCGUGUCUGCGCGCGCGGCAGGGGCGGCGGCGGCGACGGCCGGAGGUGUACGGUCAGCAGGUUGCGGAGGAUCGUGCGGGUAGCAAAGGCAGGCCGAGUGCUCCUGCGGCUCCCAGAGGGCAACCAGUUGCUUCCUCUACUGAAGUCUUGAAACCCCUGAAAGUCAUCCCUGAGGUUUGAAGUUAACUUCUUCUACACCCUGUUAAUGUUGAUAUUUUGACCUCCUUCCAUGAAUCACAAAUGUUCUUAAUGGCAUCUAGAAUGGUGCUGUCAACUCUCACCUGGUUUCCUUAGCUCUGGUGAAGUAUUUUCGUGUGUGGAUUGUUUUUCAAAUUGAUGUUUCUGUUGGGGGAUGAGCACUGGAAAGUCCUGCUCUGCCAUCUUGCUGCCAUCUGGACUCCCAAGAACAUGCAUCAUUAUUAGAACCAUCACCCUGCAGCUAGCUUGGAUACCAUUAAAAGGGCUCAUCAGCUGCAAACGGAUUAAAGUAUCUGGUACUCGGGAAGACAGAGUUUCAGGGUUUCUACCUGGAGCUACACCCUCAGGAAGCCCCUCCUUGGCCUCCCUUCACCCAGUCCCAUCCCAACCAGUCACAACUUGGGCUGUGCGUGGUGUUUCUUGGAAACUGGAACACAGACUCCUCCAGCAGCUCCACAGGCCCCUUGUCCUCAAUGAGCAGAAGACUACAGGAGCUGGCUACUGAAGAGGCUGUCCAAGUGAUAGAGCACCUUCUUGGCCCUGUUUAGCACAUUUACUGCAGAGCUGGAUGCUACUUAUUUGUGCUCACCACCUUCAGGGACUGCAGAGAGAUUUGUCAGACCCUGCUUCACUAAGGGCCACCCUCUAAGGAUCUCCAGAAGAGGCUGCCCAUAGAGAGAAGUGGCCUGCCUAGGGUCUCCACUUCCUCAGGUCCUACCCGGACACCUCUAGGGCUGAGGGGAUCAGUAUCUCUUCACCUACCUGUAAUCCACAUACCAAGUGGAAGAAUCUGCCUGCUAUUUUUUGUUUGUUUUGGCGGGAAGAGUUUUAACUACUGCUGUAAUUCCUUUAGUAGCUAUGGAACUGUUGAGGAUUUCUUUUUCUUCUUGAGUCAAUUUUGGUAAGAGAACAGUUUUCUAGGAGUUGGUCCAUUUUGUCUGCAUUUUCAAAUUCAUUGGCAUAAAGUUUCCUUUUUAUUCUCUGCUGUGUAUAAACUGUAACAAUGUCUCCUUUUUCAUUACUGAUAUUGGUUAUUUGUGCCUUCUCACUUUUUUUCUUGAUCAAUCUCACCAGAGGUUUAUCUAUUUUAUUAGUCUUUUCAAAGAACCAACUUUUGGCUUUGUUGCUCCUCUCUAUUGUAUCUUUGUUUUCUAUUUCUUUAAUUUCUGCUCUUAUCUUUUUUGAUCUCCUUCCUUCCACAUUUUUUGGGUUUAUUCUGUUGUUCUUUUUCUAAUUUAACUGGACAUUGAGCUCAUUAAUUUUCAUUCUUGCCCAUUUUCUAAUUCGUGCGUUUAAGGAUAUAAUUUCCCUCUAACUCCUGCUUCUCCAUAAGUUUAGAUAUGUAGUAUUUUCAUUAUUGCUCAGUUAUAAGUACUUCAUUUCCAUCAAGGUUACUUCUUUGACCUGUAAGUUAUAUAGAAAUGUGUUUUUAGAUUUCCAAAUGUUUGGGGAUUUAAAAUUUUAUCUCUUUGUUAUUGAAAUCUAUCUUAAUUGCAUUAUGGUCAGAGGAUGUGGCUUGUGUGACAACAACUCUGAAAUUUUUUAGACUUGUUUUAUGGCUUAGUAUGUGACCAAUAUUUUUGAAUACUUCCUAUGUGCUAAUUUAUAAGAAUGUGUGUUCUCUAAUUGUUGAAUACAGAGAUCUACAUAUGUCUAUUAUCAAGUUUGUGAACUAUUGUUCAAUUUUUACUUAUCUAUACUGAUUUUUUUGGUCAUUAUCUACUGAUAAUUGAAAGAGGUGUGUUAAUGUUCAACUGUAAUGGUGGAUUUGGCAAUUUCUCCUUGUAAUUCUAUCUCGUUUCUUGCUUUAUAUAUUUCGAGGGUGUUCAUUAGGAAUAUUCAAAUUAAAAAUUGUUAUAUAUUCCUGAUAAAUAUGUAAUGACCCUCUCUAUUCCUGAUAAUGCAUUUUUCUUUGAAACCUAUUUUAUCUUAUAUUAAUGUAGUAACACAAACUUUUCUUGUUGGGAUUUGUGUGGUAUAUAAUUUUCCAUCCUUUUACUUUUGAGCAUUUUCAUGCCAUUAUGCUUUAAUUAUAUCUCUUGGAAACAACAUAUAACUGGACCUUUUAAAAAAUCUAAUCUGAUUAUCUCUUUUGGUUGGCAAGUUUAGUCUGUUUACAUUUACUGUGAUGUAUUUGGGCUUGUUUCUACCAUCAUACUUUUUUAUUUCUGUUUACCACCACUACCUUUUCGGUGCUUCAUUUUCUCUUUUCUCGCCUGCUUUUUUAGUUUUGAGAUUUGUUUUCUUAUUCAAUUUUUUCCUCCCUAUUUUUAAAUUUUUUUCUAUUCUUUCUGCGGUUAUCCUUGAUGUUUUCCAUAUGUGUUUAACUUAUAAAGUCUAAAGUUAAACAAUAUUUUAGCCCCCUUCUUAAAGAAUGCAGGAAGCUUAGAAACCUUCAACUCUAGUCAUUCCUCUCCUGAUCACAUACUGUUGUUUUCAAAUAUGUUAGUUUGUUCCUUUUUAUAAACCUCACAAUUUUACAUCAUUGUCAGUAUUAUUUUAUAUAGACAGUGUUUGUUUGGACUUACAUGCAUACAUUCUUGUAUCGCAGAUCAUCCUUUGGGAUCAUUUUCUUUCAUUAUGAAUAUAGUGUUUAAGUGGGUUUUUUUUUUUAGUACAGGUCUCUUGAUGUUAAAUUCUUCCAGUUUUUCUUAUAUGUAAAUGUCUUUAUUUUAUCCUCAUUCUUAAAAGAUAGUUUGUUACAGGUAUUUUUACUCAACACUUAGAAUAUAUGGUUCCAUUAUCUUUUGGCUUUGAGAAGUCUGUUGCUAUUAAGAAGUCGACUAUCAGACUGAUUGCUGGUUGUGUGUGUGUGUGUGUGUGUGUGUGUGUGUAGUAGUAGUAGUAGUAGUAGUAGUAGAAUGUGCAGGGGGUCCUGCAGUUUUACUCUAACAUGUUUACAUAUGUAUUUUUUUUCAUUCUACUUUGGGAAUGUCAUGCUUCGUGGCUCAGUGGAUUCAUGCUUUUCGUAAUUUCUGGGAAAUUCUCAACCAUUAUCUCUUCAAAUAUUGCCUUUCAUUUUUUCUAGUUUUUCUUUCUCAGAAUACAGUUAGUCAUAUUUUGGACCUCCUCAUUCUAUCUUCUGUAUCUCAUAACAUCUCUGAGAUUUUCUAUCUCCUUGUCUUUCUGCACUUCAUUCUGGAUAAUUUCUUUAGGUAUAUCUUUCAGCUUACUGAUUCUCUUUUCAACUAUGUCUAAUCUGCUCUUUAAUCUGCCCAUUGAGUUUUUUAUUUCAAAAGUUAUAUUUUUCAUUUGUACAAACCUCAUAUAUUUUACUUGCUAAUCUGCCUAGUCAUCCCUAAUAGUCUCUUAUUGCUUGGUCAUCUUUGUGAUUACAUCUGUUAUUACUUCUUUAAAACAUUUUAUAUAAUUUUUGUUCAACCGGUAGUCACUGUUUGCAUGAGUAUGACAUUGUAAGUAUUGUUCACAUCAAAACUACAUAGUAUAUUCUGAUUACAUAUCCUUUGUUGUAUACCCUUUCGUUUUCCUUGGAGCUAAUAAUUGUGUAUUUUGUUUUCUUUUGCUUAGUGUUCUAGUACCUAUUAACUAUUCUUCUCUGAAAUUCUUUAUACAAUCCAAAUCAGAUCAUGUCCUUCCACUAUUCAGAAUUCUCCCAUGGCUCCCACCUCCCUCAACAAAAGCCAAAGCCCUCACCAUGGCCCAAAAGUCCCUACAUAAUCUGGUUCCCUUUACCUUUCUUACCUUGUCUCCUAUCACUCUCAGUAUCACUCACUCUUCUCCAGCUACACUGGCCUCCUUGCUGUUCCCCAAGUGUACUAGAUACCCUUCCUUUUCAGGGCCUUUGUACUUAUUCUUCUCACUGCCUGAAACACCCUUCCUCUUAAAUAAUCUGAUGAGUUGCCCUAGCACUUCCAGUGUGCUCAAAUGUCACCUCCCUAGAGAAGUGUUUCCUGAUCAACAUAUCUAAAAUCGCCCCAUCACAUGCAUUUUAUAUCCCUUUAUCCUACUUUAUGUAUGUUUUUCUACAAAGCACUGAUCACCACCUGGUAUAUUUUAUAUUUAUUUAUUGUGGUUAGUGUUUGUCUCUCUUCAGUAGACUGUAAGCUCCAUAAAGCAGGGACUUCUGUUUUGUUCACUGCUGUAUCCCCAGUGCCAUAAACAACAGUGCAUAGUAGACACUCAAUAAAUAUUUGUGGAAUAAACUGAAUGAAUGGAUGAAUGACUUAAUUGAUUAAUGUGGAGGAUAGAGAGAUAAAGGCCUUGAGGAGUAGGCUAGGCACAAAGGCCUUUAAUGCCAUGCUAAGGAACUUGGAUAUCAUUUUUCAUAAGGUUGGGGGCUGUGAAGAAGCAGUGAGGAUAGCUCCUGGGUUCUUUUGGGAGGCAAGUUCUCAGUUGGUAGGGUUGUGGCAAAGCCCCAUAUUUUCUGACUGGCUGUACACCCUAGGGCUCCUGAAGGCAGGCCUGCCUCUUACUCAAAUAGCCCUCAAACUGCUGUGUUGUCAUGCUGCCUGUUACCUGGUGAAAAACAAAACCCCAACUCUCAUUGGGCUUUCUGAUCCCAGCUAUCAUCCCCCUUUCUCUUGCACUGUGAGGAACUGUUUCCUGGUCCCCAGGCCAAGCGGACCACUCUCAUUAUACUUUACCUGUGGUACUUGGUGGUGGUAGGGGGGCUGCAGGGGAUGGCGUGGAAGUUGGCAUGAUACUGGACUCAUAGUAAGUGUUGUUAUAAUGGGAGAUACCCAUAGGAGGGUAAGUUACAGCUCAAAAAGAGUAUUUUUCAUUGUCAAAGUGAGAACAGGCUGUGUGGGGUUUUAGUCCUGACUUUGCCCCUAGCCCUACUGGGGCCUAGUCUGGCUCCAGUGUUUCUGCCUGCCCAUGACUCCGGAUACUAAUUCUGUUGUCUAAUGUGUGACCUACUCUCCUGUUUUGGUCAUCCACUAAUUUCAUCAGCAUGCCAUCAGAAUUAUACAGAAUGCUAUGUAUAAGUUCAGUUGAGCAAAAUUUGACCACUUACUGUGUGUCAGGCUUCCUGCUGUACACUGAAGACACAGAGAUGAACGAGGUGUGUUCCCAGACACAGAACUGUAAUUUCAGGGCAGUGUGGUCAGUGCAGUAACACUGGUGGGAAGAAUAGACUGUAAGAGCCCCUAAGGAAUACACAACCCAGCUCAGGGGACCAAGGAAGCUUUCUUGGAAGAGAUGGCAUAUGAACUAAAUCUUAAAAGAUUUAGUUUAACUUUCUAAUGUUAAACUGCUCUUGCAUUUCUGGGAUUAAACUGAACAUUUUUAUGUUGUAUUAAAUCUUACUCAUUCUGGAUGUAGUUUGCUAAUAAACUGUUUAGGAUUUUUGCAUCUUUAGCCAUCUGUAUUUGUCUGGUUAAGGUUAUAGUGAUCUUAUCCAAUAAAUAAAUCA
Pongo pygmaeus (Bornean orangutan) is the source of this 5766-nucleotide RNA transcript. It is a transcript of the gene named KANTR integral membrane protein, with no coding region annotated. Lineage: Eukaryota; Metazoa; Chordata; Mammalia; Primates; Hominidae. The record is from RefSeq and is a predicted model, not a curated record. The transcript has 5 exons.